This 429-nucleotide ribosomal RNA is filed under the name Chloroflexota bacterium. Its description in RNAcentral is "Chloroflexi bacterium partial 16S ribosomal RNA". It matches the Rfam family "Bacterial small subunit ribosomal RNA", at positions 355 to 776 of the family's 1533-position model. RNAcentral also lists the same sequence under 1 other name. The record is from RNAcentral. Lineage: Bacteria; Bacillati; Chloroflexota.
UGGGGAAUAUUGCACAAUGGGCGCAAGCCUGAUGCAGCCAUGCCGCGUGUAUGAAGAAGGCCUUCGGGUUGUAAAGUACUUUCAGCGGGGAGGAAGGGAGUAAAGUUAAUACCUUUGCUCAUUGACGUUACCCGCAGAAGAAGCACCGGCUAACUCCGUGCCAGCAGCCGCGGUAAUACGGAGGGUGCAAGCGUUAAUCGGAAUUACUGGGCGUAAAGCGCACGCAGGCGGUUUGUUAAGUCAGAUGUGAAAUCCCCGGGCUCAACCUGGGAACUGCAUCUGAUACUGGCAAGCUUGAGUCUCGUAGAGGGGGGUAGAAUUCCAGGUGUAGCGGUGAAAUGCGUAGAGAUCUGGAGGAAUACCGGUGGCGAAGGCGGCCCCCUGGGCGAAGACUGACGCUCAGGUGCGAAAGCGUGGGGAGCAAACAGG